CAACACUCAAAGAGGUUUCAUAAUCUCUCUUGCACUGUACUUGAUCCCUAGCAAUCUGCAACUUUUCCAGAUACCUAUUUAUGGCGACUAUUCACAGUAUUUAGAUGAACAUGAUUGUUAUCAGCAUAUAAGAUAACUACAAAAUCAAUUUUUUUUUAACAAAAGACAUACCAAUGGGUGGUGUUGGCAAUACGGUGGAGGAGGGAAGUUGAAAUCGAAUCUUGCCACUAUCUGCUCCUCGUGUGACACAUGACUUUUUGAUAUUAGAACUGCCUGCAGAAAUCCCUACACAACAUUUAUGUGUUAUGAGUGGUCAAUUUGUAUAAGUGAAUCUAAAGUCCGAAGAUUCAGAUUUAACUAUAUUUAAAAAUAUACCAGAAAGAUCAAUAUUUGCAAGAAAUUGAGCCGACGGAGAAGAAUUUUGCUGGUUUCUUUGCAUAUGCUGAAGAUGGUCUAUAAAAAAAAUGGUGGAUAUAAUAUAGUUAUAAAAUCAGCAUGAAAACAUAUAUAAGCAUAGUCAUAACUCAAAUAUCAUAUUAGUUUUAGGAGCAUAGUCAUAACUCAAAUAAUCCCAAUAUGACUAAUUUAUAAAAUUAUGAGGUUAAGUUAUAUAAUUGCAGGAAUGGCUCAUCUCCAAUAACAAUAUAACUGCAUGAGUCAAGCAGUGAGAAAAUGAAAAACACUGAUAAAAGUAUCUAAUUUACAUUUGAUAUUAGUAGUCAUUAUUUUAAUUUUCAAUCUAGAGUAUCUUAUUCAUUUUACUUAAAAUUGUUUUGAUUAAAACUUCAGAAACAAAAAAUACAUACCAAAAUCAUGUAUCUUUAAGCUACAGAGAGCUGAUGUGACUCCCUCGCCCAACCUGAGAACAACUAAAAGAAUAUAAGAGAAUAUACCAGCAUAUACAAUCUGAAAAGGCCAAAAGACACUCAAAAU
This 933-nucleotide long non-coding RNA is filed under the name Daucus carota (carrot). RNAcentral's name for it is "long non-coding RNA (DCAR_LNC007415)". The record is from RNAcentral. Lineage: Eukaryota; Viridiplantae; Streptophyta; Magnoliopsida; Apiales; Apiaceae.